This 7146-nucleotide long non-coding RNA is filed under the name Homo sapiens (human). RNAcentral describes it as "small nucleolar RNA host gene 14". The stretch from base 1 to 92 matches the Rfam family "Small nucleolar RNA SNORD116". The record is from RNAcentral. Lineage: Eukaryota; Metazoa; Chordata; Mammalia; Primates; Hominidae.
GGAUCGAUGAUGACUUCCAUAUAUACAUUCCUUGGAAAGCUGAACAAAAUGAGUGAAAACUCUAUACCGUCAUCCUCGUCGAACUGAGGUCCAGCACAUUACUCCAUCAGGGGCUAGACAGAGAGGGCCAACAUUCGUUUGUUGAUAUGGGUUGCAUCAAGGGGUCCAUCCAGGCUUAGGAUGGGGUCCCUUUGGGCAAUUGGAAGUCACAGGGAAGUGGGAGCUCCCAUGCACAGGAAAUUCCUUAUUUGAAGGACUUCUUUCUCCCUGGGCGGGAUAACUCACCUACUGUCUGAAGGACUAGGUGAAUGGCAGGUGGCAUGGAAAGAGUUUGUGGGUAGUCUGCCUCUGGUGGCCAAGUUUGUUCUUGAGUCCAAGCUCUGGAUUCCCAGAGGAAGACAGAUCCCCUGGUUGCGGGGAGAGCACAAGCCUACACUAUUCUCACUUGUUAGCUUGUUUUGUCCUUGGCGGAGGACGUUGUAUUUCCAGGCACCCAGCAUAGCCUCUUUGCCGCAUUUCCAUGUCAUAUCCCAUAUGUUAUGAGGAUUUGUGUAUUGCAUGAUCAGGCAGGCUUCUGCUCCAAGCUGGGGCUGUCAGGCAAGGAGUCUCUGGGUUAUUCCAAACCUGAUUUAGGUCAGUGGCUUCCUCUUUCAGGAUUCAUGGCCCCAAGGCUUUUGUGAGCACCAUUGCAGGUGUUGAAGCAACGAUGUUGAGAGGGAUGCCCAACAUCAGUGCUCUUUAGCAGGAUGGUGCACCUCGAGGGCCCCUGGCCCUGGGACGAGCAUCUGCGUGUCCAUGCAUUUCUGUGUCCAUGAACAGGCGAGGCCAUAGACAGGCAAAUAGCAGAUGUGUCACAGGGGACUGGAUAACAUGGCCCUCGUGACGUGUGCAACCUGUCUGCCUUUCUGAAGCACGCCUGUGUUUCCUCUGCACUUCACAGGUGGUGUUGGCAUGAAAGGCAGGCUUGUAUCAUGAGGAAUGAUUGUCAUCUUGUCUGAUUCUUGGAGAUGGCAGGAAGCCCCUGGAAACACAUGGUGUGGACUCUUUCACAGGCUGUUGAAACCCUCCUGAAUGUGAGGCCAGAGACAGGCAGACAGCAGAUGUAUUGCAGGGAGCUGGAUGACAUGGCCCUUGGAACCUGUGCACAUGCCUGCCUUUCUGAUGCACGUCCAUGUUUUCUCUGCACCUCCCCGGUGGUGUUGGUAUAAAAAGCAGGCUUACAUCAGCAAGGGAUGAUUGUCGUCUCAUGCGAUCCUGGGAGAUGGCAGAAGUCCCGGGACACAUGGAGUGUGGGCUCUUUCGGAGGCUGUUGGAUCCCUCCUGAAUGUGUUGUGGCCAUGGAAGUAAGGCCAGUGGCUACGAGGGACAGUCUUCAUCUUGGGAGAUCCCUAGAGAGGGCAGGGAGCCCCUUGACAUGUGGAAUGUGAUCUCUGUUGGGUGCUGGUGGAUCCCACAGGUGGUCUGGCAUGGAAGAAGGCCAGAGGCUGCGAUGGAUCAUCUUUGUCUUGGGAGAUUCCUGGAGAUGGUGGGGAGCCCCUGGGCACGUGCAGCAUAUGUGGCGUGGGCUUCUUCAGGUGCUGGUGGAUCCCUCAGGAUGAGAGGCGGAGGUAAACCACUGGCGCAGCCCUGCCUCCCACAGAUAAUUCCGGGUGCAGUGUUUCAUAUCUAGACUUGGACUUCUAUCCUACCAUACUUCUUUGUGUGCAGUUCAUUGUGGAACCAGCACAGAUUUUCAUACGAAAGUUAUUUCUUUUUAACCUCAAAAAGUGACAGAAUGGAGUGUAUCAUGAAAAAGUCUGACAUCAAAACCUCAAAAUGUGAUAUUGAUUGGGUGAGAUAGAAUUCCAUGGAAUUUCAUUGCCAAACCAGUGAAGUGCUAAUUUUGACAUUUGUACCAGCUAACGUAGCUGUGAAGAAACACACCAAUACACUUCUAAGGACAGCAUAGACCAAGAUCUAGGUUUCAUAUGGAUGAAUUUAUUCUUCCCUUUGAGGCAAGACAAGAAGGAAAGAAAGUAUUGGGAAUAAUGCUGCCCUCCCAUCCUCAAGGGCCAGUGGGAACUCUAAUAUUGAUUGGUUUUCACAGAAUUCCAUGGACUUUAACUGCUGAACCAAUGAUGCACUGAUUUUGUCACUUGUACCAGCUAACGCAUCUGGGAGGCAACAAAACAAUACUCUCCUGAGGUUAAUGUGGACCAAAAACUAGAUUUCAUAUAAAAGAGUUUAUUCCUUCUACUUGAGGUGUGACAUGAAGGAAAGUAAUGGAAAUAAUUCUGCCCUCCCAUUCUCAAGGGCCAGGGGGAAUUCAAAUAUUGAACGGAAGUGAUUUUGGAAUUGCAUGGAAUUCUCACUGCCAUCCCAAAGAAAUGCUGAUCUUGUCACUCUUACCUGUUUCAUUCCCUGGGGGCAGAACAAAAGGACGCACUCCAAAGAUCGGCAUGAACCAAGAACUGGGUUUCAUAUAAAAUAUUUUAUUCUGUCCUCUUGAGAUGUGACAUGAGAAAAGUAUUGAGAAUACUUCUAUCACCUCAUCUUCAAGAAUCCGUAGGAAUUCUCCCAUGGUGGACUUUACGGUUAACCUGAACAGGUCUUGGAAAAAGGACUUUAAACAUUCUCCUGUUCUGUGGAAUAAGUAUACUUUUUUCUGGACAUACACCUUGUCAGUGAGUUCCAUGUGAUACUAGAGUUGCAUAGAUUUUUAACCUUUACGCCAAUGAAGAUCUGAGGCAAACAUUGCCCCUUUUUUAGAAGUUUGCAUUUGUCACUGAUAACUGUAAUAAUUGAUCUUGUUGAAAAGCCUGGGAAAUGAAGAUCUGAUAUGUCACUUUUACCGGCUUCCUCAACUGAAAAAGAAUACAAUGAAACACGCUGAGAAUUUUUGUGCUUUCUCAGUCUUGCUGAUGAUCUUUCUAUGGGCCUGAAGCGUGGAGAGUGCCAGAGAGGCUGAUCCUCAGCAGUGUGGCAGAGGAAAGUUGGGUGCGACUAAGGGGUAUGCGGUGCCCACAUGCCACUGGGUCCUCAGCAGUACCACCUGAUUGGAAGUGAUAUUGGUGGAAGACAACAUUUUGCCGCUUGGAAUUCUCACCUCCACACCAAAGAAGUACUGUUUUUGUCAUUUGCACCAGCUUCUUUCUCCAGGAAAGAUCAAAACGAUGCACUGCAAGUGUGAUUGGUCCAGAUAGCUGCCUUAUCCAACUGCCUCCUUUGGACCACUUCAUCAUGGGACAGCUUGAUGCAAUCUACUUGACAAGACCCUGGAACCCCACACCCCUCAUGGAACCAGUGUCCACCUCCCAGUCACAGUGUGACCCCAGGGAACUCUUGCCUGCUUGCUUUAAACCCACCACUUAAAAGUCUCCACAGAAAACCUGUUUGAAUAGUACCCUUGACCCAAUAAGGGCAUUGGCCCCUGGGUGUCUCUCUCUCUCUCUCUCUCUCUCUCUCCCUCUCUCUCCCUCUCUCUCUCUCGCUCCCUGACCUCUGCGUGUGGACUCCAGGCAUGCCAUAUACCCCUCAGGACCUGAAGCAAAAGAAUGAAUUAAAGAAAACUCCAGAGAAUGAGCUGACAACCUACUCCCUGGUCAGUGGCUCUCCAUGCCUACCUGUGGUCUCUUGGACACCCUUGCAGAAGAUGACUUCCUGGGAACUCUUCUGGGAGUGAAUGUUAUCAGCAAAUUCCCAAAACAACACCCCUUAGACAAAAAGCCUCCUCACCUAUGCAUUGCCUAGACCACCCACUAAAGGUGAUGGCCACAAAGAGGUGGAUUUGUUGAGUUGGUGCCAUUCCUUCUACUGCCAGCUUCACCAAAACAAUGACACAGUCUUCCUUCCGCAUGGAGACUCUUCUCUUUCCUGUGUUGCAGUGGAUGCCUCCUGCAGAUAAGAAAUGCUUAACUGAGAAAUGCUCAUGUUGGGAUAUCAUCGAUGAGACUUUAAUUUGGGCAUGGUGACUGUUUCCCUUGCUGCCACUUGACUCAAUCCCAGGAGCCUCAGUAGAGGAUAUAAUAUUACACAAGAUGCUCAAAAUGGUGGAAUUGCUCAGUGCUCCCAUAAAUAUACAUUUAUAAUUUUCAUUUGCCACAUGGUAAACUGAAAAAUACAGACUAUAUUAAAAAGAAACUGCAUGAUUUUUUUUCAAAAAUUCAAAGCAUAUUUAAAUAAUAUAUAAAUUAAAUGCCCUCCUCUCUUCCAAUUCUGUCCCUAUAGUUUUCCUCUAUUAAGUGAACUACAUGCAUUCUUUUAGUGGAUAGAUGCACACAAACACACAAGCCAUUAUGGGGAAGGAUCCACGUGUGUGGCCAUAUUGUAACACAUUUUUCUGCAAAUCACCUCUUUCAUUUAACAGCCCUUAUUCAAUGGCCUUUUUCUUUUUCAGUAGUACAUACACAUCUGUGUCAUUUGUUGAAUGACGACAUGAAUGUUUUGUAGAUAAAAUAUAAUUAAAUGUUUUAAGCAUUUCUCACUCAUAGAUAUUUAUGUUAGCACCAAAUUUCUGUGCAAUGAACCUCCCUAUAUAUCAGUAAUUUUGCAUUUGUCUAUAAUAUCAUAAUAAAUUACUUAUCAGUUGAAUUACUGGGAUUAAGUAUGUGCACACUUUAUAUUUAUAUUUUGAAAAUUAUUGCAAGAUUGCCUUCAAAAAUGUGGUUAACAACUUUAUCUUCAAAUGGCAAUGAAUGAGAUUGCCAGCUUUCCUACAGCCUCACAGACAAUGGAUUUUAUAAAUAUUUAACAUUUUUGCCAAUGUGAUCACCCAAACUAUUGUCUUAAAUUGUAUCUCUUUUGUUUUUGAGUUUGGUCAUUUUUUCAUGUUUAUUAGCCAUCUGUAUUUUUUAAUUUCUUCUUUAUGUCCAAUUUUGUGGGUGGGAGGAGGAUUUAGUCUCUUCCUGAUUUCGAAGAGCUCAUUUACUAUUUCGGGAAAUAAGAUUUGGAUUGUCAACCAUUAUAGCUAUUUUUUACACACUUUUCAACUUUGUUUUUGUUAUAAGAAUGUGUAUGAUUGUUACAUGUCCAAGUAUAACCAUGUUCGCUUUUAUGGCUUCUGAGUUUCAUGUCAUUUUUGGAAAGAUAUAUAUAUUGAGUCCAUAAAACCCUUCACCUAUGUUAAAUUCUAAUUCUUUUGUGUUUUUUUAAUUCAAAUUCUUAAAUCAUGAGAAAUUUUUUUGUUUUGAAAUCUUAAAGUUGCCAAGUUACUUGCCAUUACUUGCGAUUAUUUGCCAAUAAUUGCCCAUUUAUCUGUACCGCCAUCUUGCGCAUAUGCUGUACUCUCAUCUGUGACUGGCUCCAUUUUUGUUCUGUGGAUUUGUGUGUCUCUUCUUCUGCCUCCUGUCUCGUGUCUGCUCGUUGGAAGAAAUUACAGUUUAGACUGCAAUUUCAUCAACUUUAAUAAAUCAAUUGAGGGGAGAAUUGGUUUUUAAAAAUAUUAAGUAAGUCUUCGUAUCCAAGGACAAGGUAUGUCUUUUCUUAUUCAAUAAUUUUAAUUACUGUUAAUAUUUUCACUGUGGUGAUGGGAGUUUUUCUUUUAAUUUAUUUUCUUGUUCAUUUUUUGUAUCUAAAGUUUUUGUUUUGUUUUGUUUUGGGGGUAAGUUGUCACCUUACUGUUUCUUGUUGCUUUUCAGAUUUUUUCAAAGUAUAGACUAAAUCCUUCACAAAUAUUUAAAGUUUUUAUUUUCCCCCUUCAUAUUGAUCCUGAUUUUAGUUAUGUUGACAAAGUCCACAGACUGUUACUAUCAGAACACUUGAACAGUUAUGGAAAUAUUACCUACCCUUGAUUUAAUCAGAGUUUAAUGGUAUGCUUCUUUGGUUUGACUGGCACAUUGUCGCUGGUCAUUUCCUCCCAAAGACCACCAGAAAGAGCUAUGAUCAAGCAAAGCUGAGUUUGUUAAACUUACCUGCAGCAAGGGAAAACACCACCUUGAUAGGGUUUAAUAAUGUUUCAAAAUCAAGAAAUGAGGCUUUGGGGUCUGGGCAGGGAACUAAUUAGAAAUGGGCAAAAUUUGUCAUGCAAUACCUUGUGGGAAAGUGAGAUGAGGUUCUUAAUGUGAGUAUUGAUGGUGAAAUCAUUUUCUAGGUGAGCUGUUUGCCUAUAUAAAGAUGUUAUCAAUGACAGAAGAACUAUUUGCCUAGAUAAACAAACUGAAUUUAUUUAUUGGUUUACAGUUUUAUCUUGCUGGGCAGGACUCUGCUGGGGGUGGUAUCAGGUCUUAUUCCCAAUAGGUAAGUUAUUUGGAUAUGGGUGGUCUUAAUCAUCAAUGUGUAAAAUGCUGAUUUUAAGUGCGAAAUACUUUGUCUACCAUGUUAGGAAAGUCUGCCACCUUUUAUCUUUUUUAAGGAAUUUUAAUCAAAACCAGGUGGUAGAUAUAAUCAAAUUGUUUUGCAGAAUCAAUUUUCCUGUUCUCUUUAAAGACUUUUAUCACUGUGAAUUAAUUUACUAUUAUUGCAACUUCCUUUAAUUCCUUGAAUGAACAGACCCUACUGGUUUUAAAAAUGUUUUAUUCUUUUAAUUUACUACUUAAUUGUGGGUAUUUUAAUUUGAUUUGGAAUUUUUACAAGUAUACAACUAAGUGAAAUUGAUCUGUGAUUUUUCUUUUUUGUGCUAUUUUUGUCAUGUUUUGAUAUCAGAUAUUCUGGUUGUGUUAAAAUAAUUUUGAGGAUUUUCUUCUUAUACUGUGUUCUAGAGUGGGUAAAAAAGCCCUAGUCUCACUAUCAGUGUUUAAGUGAACACAUCAGUGACAUCAUCUGGACUCUCCUUUGUUUUUGCUGGUUUGGAGUUAGGACAUCUAGAAGUUUUUUUCUUUUUUUCCUUUUUUUGUAUGGUUAUUGCUUGUUCUUUGUUUUGUGUCAAAUUUAACCUGUUUUCUCUUAGCAAAUCACAGCUCAUGCAGAUUUUCAAACACAUUAGCCUUGUUAUACAAAGUGUUCUUUCAUCAUUCUAUUAAAUUUCCAUUUUCAUUCCAGUUAUAGUUAUUUCUGCUGUGCCUUUGUUAAUGAAUAAGUUUAAACAGUGGAUGUUUAGCAUCACUAGCCUUCCCCUUCCAUCUCCCUUAAUCAGGACCUUGGUAUAAUUUAUCAGGUAUUUUUUAAGGUUCUAAUUUACUUAUAUAUAUUGUUUCUGUAUUCUUUUGUUUCUUUUCUUAAUAAAUUCUUAAA